UCUUUGCGCUGGAUAGCCGCUGGGUUCCGAUUCGUUCGAAGCUCAGAGGAAAGUCCGAACACUUUUUCAUCACCAGUUUUGAAAAAUCGAAAUUUCGAUUUUUCAAAACUGGUGAUGGAAAGCGGGGUAGCGGGUAACGCCCGUCUGGAGCAAUCCAAGAGGUGCGAACAGAGACGCCAAAUUUCGAAAGAUGUUUGGGCGCCUUCGAAAGGGGGCGUAAUCCAGCUCCUGUUUUGAAAAAUCGAAAUUUCGAUUUUUCAAAACAGGAGCUGGGGUGCAACGGCAAAAUCCUUACCUAAGUGCAAGGCCGUGCCCCUCACCAAUUUUAUGUUUUAGAACUUUCUAGAGCCUAAAAUUGGUGAGGGGAGUGCCGCUUGAGUCCCGCGGCAACGCGGGACCCAGAUAAAUGGCUAUACAUCCCUCACCAGUUUUGAAAAAUCGAAAUUUCGAUUUUUCAAAACUGGUGAGGGAGGACAGAAUUCGGCUUAUAGGCGCAAAGACAUC
Molecule: RNase P RNA, 504 nt
Filed under: Patescibacteria group bacterium
Lineage: Bacteria
Description: RNase P RNA component class A
Rfam family: Bacterial RNase P class A
About the family: Ribonuclease P (RNase P) is a ubiquitous endoribonuclease, found in archaea, bacteria and eukarya as well as chloroplasts and mitochondria.
Source: RNAcentral